Molecule: non-coding RNA, 120 nt
Filed under: Duganella sacchari
Lineage: Bacteria; Pseudomonadati; Pseudomonadota; Betaproteobacteria; Burkholderiales; Oxalobacteraceae
Source: RNAcentral
GAAUAGUGCGUAUAAUGCGGGCGUCGAGAUACGGAAACCGGUGCAAGUCCGGUGCGGUCGUGCCACUGUAAUCGCUGCUGUCCAACAGCCGAAAGCCAGACCCGAAUCGAAGCAGCAACC